GACGAACGCUGGCGGCGUGCUUAACACAUGCAAGUCGAACGGAAAGGCCCUGCUUUUGUGGGGUGCUCGAGUGGCGAACGGGUGAGUAACACGUGAGUAACCUGCCCUUGACUUUGGGAUAACUUCAGGAAACUGGGGCUAAUACCGGAUAGGAGCUCCUGCUGCAUGGUGGGGGUUGGAAAGUUUUGGCGGUUGGGGAUGGACUCGCGGCUUAUCAGCUGGUUGGUGGGGUAGUGGCUUACCAAGGCUUUGACGGGUAGCCGGCCUGAGAGGGUGACCGGCCACAUUGGGGCUGAGAUACGGCCCAGACUCCUACGGGAGGCAGCAGUGGGGAAUAUUGCACAAUGGGCGGAAGCCUGAUGCAGCAACGCCGCGUGCGGGAUGACGGCCUUCGGGUUGUAAACCGCUUUCGCCUGUGACGAAGCGUGAGUGACGGUAAUGGGUAAAGAAGCACCGGCUAACUACGUG
Molecule: ribosomal RNA, 468 nt
Filed under: uncultured bacterium
Lineage: Bacteria
Description: partial 16S ribosomal RNA
Rfam family: Bacterial small subunit ribosomal RNA
Source: RNAcentral